CAGUAGCCACGGGAAUACGAAGGGGGCUAGCGUUGUUCGGAAUUACUGGGCGUAAAGGGCGCGUAGGCGGCCAUUCAAGUUAGAUGUGAAAGCCCUGGACUCAACCUAGGAAUUGCAUUUGAUACUGUUUGGCUUGAGUUCGGGAGAGGUGAGUGGAAUUCCCAGUGUAGAGGUGAAAUUCGUAGAUAUUGGGAAGAACACCAGUGGCGAAGGCGGCUCACUGGACCGACACUGACGCUGAGGCGCGAAAGCGUGGGGAGCAAACAGGAUUAGAUACCCGUGUAGUCCCUGUCUCUUAUAC
Molecule: ribosomal RNA, 301 nt
Filed under: uncultured bacterium
Lineage: Bacteria
Description: partial 16S ribosomal RNA
Rfam family: Bacterial small subunit ribosomal RNA
Source: RNAcentral